UGCAGUCGAACGGCAGCACGGGAGCAAUCCUGGUGGCGAGUGGCGAACGGGUGAGUAAUAUAUCGGAACGUGCCCAAUCGUGGGGGAUAACGCAGCGAAAGCUGUGCUAAUACCGCAUACGAUCUACGGAUGAAAGCGGGGGACUCGCAAGAGCCUCGCGCGAGUGGAGCGGCCGAUAUCAGAUUAGCUAGUUGGUGGGGUAAAAGCUCACCAAGGCGACGAUCUGUAGCUGGUCUGAGAGGACGACCAGCCACACUGGAACUGAGACACGGUCCAGACUCCUACGGGAGGCAGCAGUGGGGAAUUUUGGACAAUGGGCGCAAGCCUGAUCCAGCAAUGCCGCGUGCAGGAUGAAGGCCUUCGGGUUGUAAACUGCUUUUGUACGGAGCGAAAAGGCUCUCUCAAAUAAAGAGAGCUCAUGACGGUACCGUAAGAAUAAGCACCGGCUAACUACGUGCCAGCAGCC
This 466-nucleotide ribosomal RNA is filed under the name uncultured Rhodoferax sp. Its description in RNAcentral is "bacterial SSU rRNA". It matches the Rfam family "Bacterial small subunit ribosomal RNA", at positions 56 to 516 of the family's 1533-position model. Lineage: Bacteria; Pseudomonadati; Pseudomonadota; Betaproteobacteria; Burkholderiales; Comamonadaceae. The record is from RNAcentral.